Glycine soja is the source of this 373-nucleotide long non-coding RNA. RefSeq lists it as uncharacterized. The record is from RefSeq and is a predicted model, not a curated record. Lineage: Eukaryota; Viridiplantae; Streptophyta; Magnoliopsida; Fabales; Fabaceae. The transcript has 3 exons.
AGCACCUCUUGCCCUGUCAGCACCGCAAAGUGACUGACAUAACCUUUUAAAGGUUCAAAGAACCUCCCCCGCCGCCGCCGUGGAACCGUAGCCUCAGCUCUCUCGCCGCCUUUCGCCGGAGUAUCACCCCAACGUCGUCGUCACUGGGCUUUCUUAACAACAUUUUGAUGAGGAUGAUGAAGGGAGAAGGAACCAUCAGGUAGCAGAGAUUGAAGUUAGAACAUCUUUUUUGCUGACCACAAAAGACCAUAACCAUUUUCCUCUAACCAUCUUAGGCCACUCGAGAGUUCAUACCCUUUAAAUUCAAGAUUUUACACAUUUGGACUAUCAGAACCUGAGAAUACUGGAGGCCUUCAGAGAACUCAUUGACAAU